This 567-nucleotide ribosomal RNA is filed under the name uncultured Gammaproteobacteria bacterium. Its description in RNAcentral is "bacterial SSU rRNA". It matches the Rfam family "Bacterial small subunit ribosomal RNA", at positions 355 to 896 of the family's 1533-position model. Lineage: Bacteria; Pseudomonadati; Pseudomonadota; Gammaproteobacteria. The record is from RNAcentral.
UGGGGAAUAUUGGACAAUGGGCGCAAGCCUGAUCCAGCCAUGCCGCGUGUGUGAAGAAGGCUCUAGGGUUGUAAAGCACUUUCAUUAGGGAGGAAGGCCAGAGUGUUAAUAGCGCUUUGGAUUGACGUUACCUACAGAAGCAGCACCGGCUAACUCCGUGCCAGCAGCCGCGGUAAUACGGAGGGUGCAAGCGUUAAUCGGAAUUACUGGGCGUAAAGCGCGCGUAGGCGGUUUGUUAAUUGUGAUGUGAAAGCCCAGGGCUCAACCUUGGAACUGCAUCACAUACUGGCAAGCUAGAGUACGGUAGAGGGGGGUAGAAUUCCAUGUGUAGCGAGUGAAAUGCGUAGAGAUGUGGAGGAAUACCAGUGGCGAAGAGCCGGCCCCUCUGGAUCGAUACUGACGCUGAGGUGAGAAAAGCGUGGGAGAGCAAACCAGAGAUUAAGUAUACCCUGUGUAUGUCCACGCCGUAAAGCGAUGUCAACUAGUCCGUUGGGAAGUGGUAACUCCUUUUAGUGGGCGCAGCUAACCGCUUUAAUUGACCGCCUGGGGAGUACUGUCUCAAGAGUA